UAAAGCGUGCGCAGGCGGUUAUAUAAGACAGAUGUGAAAUCCCCGGGCUCAACCUGGGAACUGCAUUUGUGACUGUAUAGCUAGAGUACGGCAGAGGGGGAUGGAAUUCCGCGUGUAGCAGUGAAAUGCGUAGAUAUGCGGAGGAACACCGAUGGCGAAGGCAAUCCCCUGGGCCUGUACUGACGCUCAUGCACGAAAGCGUGGGGAGCAAACAGGAUUAGAUACCCAGU
RNAcentral lists this ribosomal RNA (230 nucleotides) under uncultured bacterium. RNAcentral describes it as "partial 16S ribosomal RNA". It matches the Rfam family "Bacterial small subunit ribosomal RNA", at positions 561 to 790 of the family's 1533-position model. The record is from RNAcentral.